This 402-nucleotide ribosomal RNA is filed under the name bacterium. RNAcentral's name for it is "partial 16S ribosomal RNA". It matches the Rfam family "Bacterial small subunit ribosomal RNA", at positions 355 to 776 of the family's 1533-position model. The record is from RNAcentral.
UGGGGUAUUUUGCACAAUGGGGGAAACCCUGAUGCAGCGACGCCGCGUGAUUUAGAAGGCCUUCGGGUUGUAAAAAUCUUUUCUAUGGGAAGAAAAUGACAGUACCAUAGGAAUAAGGACCGGCUAAUUACGUGCCAGCAGCCGCGGUAAUACGUAAGGUCCGAGCGUUGUCCGGAAUCAUUGGGCGUAAAGGGUACGUAGGCGGGUAAGCAAGUUAGAAGUGAAAUCCUAUAGCUCAACUAUAGUAAGCUUUUAAAACUGCUCAUCUUGAGGUAUGGAAGGGAAGGUGGAAUUCCUAGUGUAGCGGUGAAAUGCGCAGAUAUUAGGAGGAAUACCGGUGGCGAAGGCGACUUUCUGGCCAUAACCUGACGCUGAGGUACGAAAGCGUGGGUAGCAAACAGG